GGGUUUUGUUUAACUCUUUGUUUAGUACCCUGGAAAUUCUGUAAUCCUAGAUUAAUUCUAUACCUUCUUUUUGUUGCAGGAGCUAACUUUUCAAGUUGGACCUUUGUUGGUUCCCUUUGGUUUUAGGUGUUAUCUUCUAAAAGUAUGCAUUCUGAUCAGGAGAUGCAAGAUCAGAGAACUAAUUCUGGAAUGGAGGAUUCUACUACAAAGACUGUUGAAUUCCUUCGGGCACGGCUGUUGUCUGAAAGGUCUGUAUCAAGAACUGCAAGACAGAGAGCUGAUGAAUUGGCCAAAAGGGUAGCAGAGUUGGAGGAACAACUAAGGAUUGUGUGUCUUCAAAGAAUGAAGGCUGAGAAGGCAACAACAGAUGUUCUUGCUAUUUUGGAGGGUAAUGGGAUUAGUGACAUUUCUGAGACAUUUGAUUCAAGCUCUGAUCCGGAUACACCUUACGAAUCCAAAGUGGGUAAUAGAUCCUCUAAAGAAGAAGAGAAUUCUGUCAGUUCAAAAAUUAGAAACAAUGAGACACAAGAACUUUCAGGUUCUGACAUUGAAUUUUCUUCAGUAACUGGUAGAAGCUUGUCUUGGAAAGGUUGCAAGGAUAGUUCUUGUUAUCUUGAAAAAUACAAGGAUACAUCUCUGAGAAGACGGAGUAAUUUUUCAUCUGUUGGUUCUUCUCCAAAACAUUGCCCAGGAAAGUCCUGCCGCCAAAUAAGACGCAAAGAAUCUAGAUCUGUAGCUGAGGAACUUAAAGCCAACCCUGCCAAGGUUGAUGCUAUUGAAGAUGAGGUUGCUAUCACUUCAGAAAAUUUUCCAAAUUGCCCAGAUGUUAAGCCUGGGAUUUUCGAAGGUGUUGUUGAAAGGGGGGAAGAUAAAAUGUUACUGGGGGACUCACUUUCAAGCUGCUUAGGAAAUGGACAAAACACCACAAGUAGUGAUGGCGUUGAUUAUAAUGUGUAUGGGGGAGACAGAGACCUGGAAAAGGCACUUGAACACCAGGCACAACUUAUUGGCCAAUAUGAAGCAAUGGAAAAGGCUCAAAGAGAGUGGGAAGAGAAAUUCAGAGAAAAUAACAACAGUACACCGGAUUCAUGUGAUCCUGGGAACCACUCAGAUAUCACCGAGGAAAGAUAUGAGAUCAAGGGGCCGGCUACAAACCCUGCUAUAACAAUUGCCUCCCAAACAAAUGAGUUGAGGUCAGAAGUUGCAGAUUUCAACAAAAUUCAGCCCAAUGGCUUUCUAUCAUCUUCACAUGUUGAUGUGGCAAGCUUGCAGGAAAGAGAAAGCAGUAGCAUGCCUGUUUCCAACUCCUCAACUCAAGACUUUGCAUUCCCCAUGGUCAAGGGCAAGCAAAAUCAAGAUAGCCCUGGAAACAACUAUCAUCCACCAUUGCAUGUUCCCCACCAUGAUUCAGUUUCACAUGGUUCACAUUAUUCCCCUGGUAGCCAAUAUGUAUCCAGCCUUCCAUCAAAUACAAGUAGUAGUCUCAGUAAAUUGAAAGAUUCUGGGGGCCAAAAUGAACUUUAUGCAUUGGUGCCACACAGAACAUCUAAUGGGGUGGGUGGUGUGCUAGAGGCACUUAAAGAAGCAAAGCAAGCACUGCAACAGAAAUUGCCAUUAGUAGCUGCAUCCGUUGGAAAAUCUGUUGAACAUUCUGUGCCCGCUACAAUGCCUAGGGAUAAAGGACAGAUUCCUGUUGGAUGCGUUGGACUGUUCAGAGUACCAACUGAUUUUUCAGUUGAAGCCAAUGCUCGAGCAGACUUCAUUAGUUCAAUUGCCCGGUUAAGUUUGGGAAACUAUUAUCCCAGUACAGGAGUUCCUGCAGCUGUCAGCAAUCCAUUUGUCUCAAGCCCUUACUUGGAGAGUAGGCCAAACUUGUCUACCGAGGAUCAAUUUCUUACCAGCCAAUAUGUUGGUGGAUCAAGAAUCCCAACUCAGAAGCCUUAUUUUGAUCCUUACUUGGACACAGGUUUACCUUCUUCAAGUAGAUACACUUAUCCCAAUUAUCCCAUCAAUACUUCCUAUCCAGACCUGAUGCCUCGGAUGCCUGCUAGAGAAGCACCGUCGGCAUCAGUUCCAGGUAGAACUGUCGGGGUAACUAAUUUAAAUCACUUUUCAUUCAUUGAUGACAAUAUUAGACCAAACACAUAUAGACCGUAGCUUGCCAUUGAAAUUCUGUAGGUUUUCUGGAGGUAGCCCUACCAACGUUUCAGAAUAGUGAUUUUGUAGUAUAAUAGGGAGGUCACUACCUUAGGGUAUGUAUUUGUAUUGUUGUAUUAUCUGUUGGGAUAUAUGAAUUGUAAAGAGGUGAGAUUUUACUUGUGUUUCUAUUUCUCAUUCAUGCUUCUAUUACCUUUCAUACAAUCAUAGAGGGACUAAGCAGUCAUGAAACGGUAUUUUACGUGGAUUCAG
This 2409-nucleotide unclassified non-coding RNA is filed under the name Hevea brasiliensis (rubber tree). Lineage: Eukaryota; Viridiplantae; Streptophyta; Magnoliopsida; Malpighiales; Euphorbiaceae. The record is from RNAcentral.